Molecule: ribosomal RNA, 728 nt
Filed under: uncultured bacterium
Lineage: Bacteria
Description: bacterial SSU rRNA
Rfam family: Bacterial small subunit ribosomal RNA
Source: RNAcentral
CGGGUGAGUAAAGCAUCGGAACGUACCCUAGAGUGGGGGAUAACUAUCCGAAAGGAUAGCUAAUACCGCAUAUUCUAUGAGUAGGAAAGCGGGGGAUCUUCGGACCUCGCGCUCUAGGAGCGGCCGAUGUCAGAUUAGGUAGUUGGUGGGGUAAAGGCCUACCAAGCCGACGAUCUGUAGCGGGUCUGAGAGGAUGAUCCGCCACACUGGGACUGAGAUACGGCCCAGACUCCUACGGGAGGCAGCAGUGGGGAAUUUUGGACAAUGGGGGCAACCCUGAUCCAGCCAUGCCGCGUGAGUGAAGAAGGCCUUCGGGUUGUAAAGCUCUUUCGGCCGGGAAGAAAUCGUGUGGGCUAAUACCCUGCAUGGAUGACGGUACCGGAAUAAGAAGCACCGGCUAACUACGUGCCAGCAGCCGCGGUAAUACGUAGGGUGCGAGCGUUAAUCGGAAUUACUGGGCGUAAAGCGUGCGCAGGCGGUUUUUUAAGACAGGCGUGAAAUCCCCGGGCUUAACCUGGGAACUGCGCUUGUGACUGGAAGGCUAGAGUACGGCAGAGGGGGGUGGAAUUCCACGUGUAGCAGUGAAAUGCGUAGAGAUGUGGAGGAACACCGAUGGCGAAGGCAGCCCCCUGGGCCGAUACUGACGCUCAUGCACGAAAGCGUGGGGAGCAAACAGGAUUAGAUACCCUGGUAGUCCACGCCCUAAACGAUGUCAACUAGUUGUUGGG